Peromyscus leucopus (white-footed mouse) is the source of this 420-nucleotide non-coding RNA. Lineage: Eukaryota; Metazoa; Chordata; Mammalia; Rodentia; Cricetidae. The record is from the annotation of a RefSeq genome assembly.
GAGCCCUGAAUUCCAGCCAGGUCUUCCCAUUCAGUGACCAGCACUGAACACAGACUGCUCACCAUGGAAUUGGGACUUAGAUGGAUUUUUAUUGUUACUCUUAUAAAAGGAUUCCAAUGUGAGGUGCAGUUGAUUGUAUCUCAGGGCGGUUUGGCACAGACUGGAGGGUCCAUUACACUCUCCUGUGCAGCCUCUGGAUUCACCUUCAGUGAUCACUGGAUGCACUGGUUUCGUCAAGCCCCAGGGAAGGGGCUGGAAUGGGUAGCAACUAUAAAAUAUGAUGGAAGUGCAAGAUACUAUGCAGAGUCUGUGAACGGCCGAUUUAUCAUCUCCAGAGAAAAUUCUAAGAACUCAUUGUACCUGCAAAUGAGCAGUCUGAGAAAGGAAGAUACUGCCAUGUACUACUGUAUUACACAGUGA